Molecule: ribosomal RNA, 867 nt
Filed under: uncultured bacterium
Lineage: Bacteria
Description: bacterial SSU rRNA
Rfam family: Bacterial small subunit ribosomal RNA
Source: RNAcentral
GGCUUAGAGUUUGAUCAUGGCUCAGGAUGAACGCUGGCGGCGUGCCUAACACAUGCAAGUCGAACGAAGCGGUUUUGGUGAAGUUUUCGGAUGGAACCGGAACUGACUGAGUGGCGGACGGGUGAGUAACGCGUGGGUAACCUGCCUCAUACAGGGGGAUAACAGUUAGAAAUGACUGCUAAUACCGCAUAAGCGCACGGGACCGCAUGGUUUUGUGUGAAAAGCCGAGACGGUAUGAGAUGGACCCGCGUCUGAUUAGCUGGUUGGUGGGGUAACGGCCCACCAAGGCGACGAUCAGUAGCCGACCUGAGAGGGUGACCGGCCACAUUGGGACUGAGACACGGCCCAAACUCCUACGGGAGGCAGCAGUGGGGGAUAUUGCACAAUGGGGGAAACCCUGAUGCAGCGACGCCGCGUGAGUGAAGAAGUAUUUCGGUAUGUAAAGCUCUAUCAGCAGGGAAGAGAAUGACGGUACAUGAGUAAGAAGCCCCGGCUAACUACGUGCCAGCAGCCGCGGUAAUACGUAGGGGGCAAGCGUUAUCCGGAUUUACUGGGUGUAAAGGGAGCGUAGACGGCAAAGCAAGUCUGAAGUGAAAGCCCGGGGCUCAACCCCGGGACUGCUUUGGAAACUGCUCUGCUAGAGUGCUGGAGAGGUAAGCGGAAUUCCUAGUGUAGCGGUGAAAUGCGUAGAUAUUAGGAGGAACACCAGUGGCGAAGGCGGCUUACUGGACAGUAACUGACGUUGAGGCUCGAAAGCGUGGGGAGCAAACAGGAUUAGAUACCCCUGGUAGUCCACGCGGUAAACGAUGAAUACUAGGUGUUGGUGGGGCACGCCCAUCCGGUGCCCGCGCAACGUCAGUAAGUAUU